GGAAUGUGCGCUGGAAGUUAUGUGAGCCUAAGCCUUAAAAUGUGUUAGGGUUUGAAGAUCCUGACUCCCUUUCUGGGGGCAACUCCUGUAAACAGAUUUAGUCUAGCACUCGAGUGCUGAAAUUGAUUUGCCCCCUUCCUGUCACUUAGAGGGUUAGCAAUACAGGUGGUGAAGAAGAAAGAUGACACCCCUAAAACCCGAGUCCCCUCUGGGCCCCAUGCUUUACCUGUAGAACUUUGGUGGAGCCUUGUGCAGCCGAACCACAAUCCAAGAGGAGGUGUUCACACCAUCUGUCGCUAGCACAGACAUCUCGAAAGGGGAAAUGCCCCAAACGUGGAAGUAUCCAACACCAAGACUGGUUGGAGCACUGGAUGAAUGGCGUGGGUGCCGCCCUUUCACUGUGCACUGUCCUAAGAAGCCUCUUUUCCUUUGAAGAGCCUAGUGCUGAGUGCCCAAUUCAAUCAGACCACGUUGAGAGCGGUCCAAGGAUUAAAAGAUGCUACCUUU
Saimiri boliviensis boliviensis (Bolivian squirrel monkey) is the source of this 507-nucleotide non-coding RNA. NCBI's taxonomy places the organism in Eukaryota, Metazoa, Chordata, Mammalia, Primates, Cebidae. The record is from RefSeq and is a predicted model, not a curated record.